GAAGCUACACACAUAUUGCACAAAACUAAGCUAACGCUAUUGGUGCAUGGCGGAAAGCAGCUGUAACCUUGCUGUGAGGGAGCAGCCUGGCUCCUGCAAGCUCACUGCAGGCACAUCUGGACCACAGCUGUUCCACAUCUUCAGCUUCAUCCCUGGAGAAGCAGCACAGGGAGCAAUUGCAUUGAAGAGGUUGUUCAGCAAAAACAUAUUGACAUGGUCUGUCAUCUGCAGGCAAGCAGAGUGCUGACCCAGGCGUCAGAGUCACCUUUGAGGCAGGGAGAUUUAAAGUCUUCUGUGCAAGAAGAAGAGGGGAGCAAUUUUCAGAUUGCUUAAACAGAAGAAGAGAAUGGUUGAUAAGGGGAGGCAUGGCUGCAUUGGGUCCUUUCAGAUGCUUUGAAACUGCUUUUGAGGAAAAAAUACCUGAUUAAAAAUGGUGUUUUAUUAUAGGAUUCACUACUGAAUUGUGGUUUUUUUUGUUUUGUUUUGUUUUUUUUGUUUUCUUUCUGGAGUGUUCUCUAUUUUUCCAUUUUAGUUUUAUUGAGUCUGGAAUCUGUCAUGUAGUUACAAACUUAACCAACCUUUAAAAAGCUGGUUAAACUGAAGAGGGGAAAAAAGUCAAUACUUGCUCUCAGCUAUACAUUUAUUUAAAAAAACAAAGCACCAAAAUCUAUUACCCUUGCUUAUUUCACUUUGGCUUCCUGAGCUCAGUGCCUUAUUCUGGGACAAUGCUGCUAUUUUGAGCUUCUAAGCCCUUCUUCUGUUGUUUGAGUGCAAUGUGGACCAUGAAACAGUGCUGGGCAAGUAGUUCUAUUGGUUAUAGAGUACCCUGUAACAGCUCACUGUCUCUGUGGUCAGGCUGCUGUUGGUUGGGUUUAUCUGUUGUCUGCUGGGUACAGAAU
RNAcentral lists this long non-coding RNA (899 nucleotides) under Meleagris gallopavo (turkey). Its description in RNAcentral is "lncRNA (ENSMGAG00000018848.1)". Lineage: Eukaryota; Metazoa; Chordata; Aves; Galliformes; Phasianidae. The record is from RNAcentral.